GGCGAACGCUGGCGGCGUGCCUAAUACAUGCAAGUCGAACGCAUUUUCUUUCACCGUAGCUUGCUACACCGAAAGAAAAUGAGUGGCGAACGGGUGAGUAACACGUGGGUAACCUGCCCAUCAGCGGGGGAUAACAGUUGGAAACGACUGCUAAUACCGCAUAAGCGCACAGUACCGCAUGGUACGGUGUGAAAAACUCCGGUGGUAUGAGAUGGACCCGCGUCUGAUUAGGUAGUUGGUGGGGUAACGGCCUACCAAGCCGACGAUCAGUAGCCGACCUGAGAGGGUGACCGGCCACAUUGGGACUGAGACACGGCCCAA
RNAcentral lists this ribosomal RNA (321 nucleotides) under uncultured bacterium. RNAcentral's name for it is "bacterial SSU rRNA". It matches the Rfam family "Bacterial small subunit ribosomal RNA", at positions 28 to 334 of the family's 1533-position model. The record is from RNAcentral.